UACGAAGGGUGCAAGCGUUACUCGGAAUCACUGGGCGUAAAGCGUGCGUAGGCGGUUUCUUAAGUCUGUCGUGAAAGCCCUGGGCUCAACCUGGGAAUGGCGAUGGAUACUGGGAGGCCAGAGUGUGAUAGAGGAUGGUGGAAUUCCCGGUGUAGCGGUGAAAUGCGUAGAGAUCGGGAGGAACACCAGUGGCGAAGGCGGCCAUCUGGAUCAACACUGACGCUGAGGCACGAAAGCGUGGGGAGCAAACAGG
This 253-nucleotide ribosomal RNA is filed under the name uncultured bacterium. RNAcentral describes it as "partial 16S ribosomal RNA". It matches the Rfam family "Bacterial small subunit ribosomal RNA", at positions 524 to 776 of the family's 1533-position model. The record is from RNAcentral.